AUGGCGUGCGUAUCAUAUGGAGAUGCUGUUGGGCACGCCGCGGCAGGUGACCCCAGGCGGCGAGCUGGGGGCCAGCAGUUCGUACGGCAGCACCCCGGCGCCGCACCGGUUCCGCCUGCCGUGGUCGGCGUUGCGCCUCUCGAUGGUCUCCUCGGCGCGGCGCACGUCGGCCGCGAACAUGCCGUGCGCCGCGAGGGCCUCCUCGUCGCCCGUCCACGGCGCCGCGCCCUCGUCCAGGCUCUCGCCCAGGUACUCCUCGUCGGGGGAGUGCGUCGACAGCGUGUCCACCACCGCCAUGAACUUGGUCGCCUCCAGCACCCCGGGCAUCGCGUUGAGGAAGAACCGGUGCGGGUCCGCCAGGAACAUGGCGUACUCCGCCGCGUCGCGCUCCGGGUCCGGCAGCAGCCGCCGCAUCAGCGGCGGCCGGUUCGGGACGUAGCCGCCCAGCGGGUACUGCCCGAAGUUGAGCGCCGCGUGCUGCGCCGACGCGAGCCAGACGAGCGUGGUCAGGAUGUUGGCGAGGUCACGCGGCGUGGACAGCGGCGGCCACCAGGGCGCGUCCCGGAGGUCGGCGUGGCCGACAUGGAUGGACUCGUGGUACCACUCCUGGAGCUCGUCGUCGGACUGGACCGUGCCGGCGUCUGGGUAGUAGAGCUGAACGUAGGACUCCACCCAGUUGCCAAUGGCGGACCACAGCAGAAGCCCGUCGUUUGCAUAAGGGUAAUCCUCGAUGAGAAGCCUGAUGCCGUGAGGCUGUGUGGCGUCCUCCACGGCCACUCCCCUGAGAAAAUGAGGAUGUCAGUGAUCACCAUAGUACAAAUCAUUCUCAGUUGCAAUGUCACAGUGGAGGGUACAUGCCUGCGGAGGAGGUCAGCCGGGAGGCCCUCGAGGUCGAAGCGCCAGUGGUUGCGGUAG
This 915-nucleotide ribosomal RNA is filed under the name Triticum aestivum (bread wheat). Its description in RNAcentral is "partial small subunit ribosomal RNA". Lineage: Eukaryota; Viridiplantae; Streptophyta; Magnoliopsida; Poales; Poaceae. The record is from RNAcentral.